AUGCUCACUUCGGCAGCACAUGGACUGACAUUGGGAUGAUACAGAGAAGGUUAGCGCGGCCCCUACACAAGGAUGGCACGCACAUUCGUGAAGCAUUCCGUGUUUUU
Small nuclear RNA from Phyllostomus hastatus (greater spear-nosed bat), 107 nucleotides. The record is from RefSeq and is a predicted model, not a curated record. NCBI's taxonomy places the organism in Eukaryota, Metazoa, Chordata, Mammalia, Chiroptera, Phyllostomidae.